Molecule: non-coding RNA, 60 nt
Submitted as: unclassified sequences
Source: Rfam
GGCUAUCCGCAAGCCUAAAAGUGCGGGGCGGUUGGUCACGGCAACGACCUAAAAAGCCUA